AUUGAACGCUGGCGGCAGGCCUAACACAUGCAAGUCGAGCGAGCGGGGGACGGGUGAGUAAUGUAUGGGGAUCUGCCCGAUAGAGGGGGAUAACUACUGGAAACGGUGGCUAAUAACGCAUACUGUCGGAUGAACCCAUAUGGGAUUAGCUAGUAGGUAAGGUAAUGGCUUACCUAGGCGACGAUCCCUAGCUGGUCUGAGAGGAUGAUCAGCCACACUGGGACUGAGACACGGCCCAGACUCCUACGGGAGGCAGCAGUGGGGAAUAUUGGACAAUGGGGGGAACCCUGAUCCAGCCAUGCCGCGUGUGUGAAGAAGGCCUUAUGGUUGUAAAGCACUUUAAGCGAGGAGGCGUUACUCGCAGAAUAAGCACCGGCUAACUCUGUGCCAGCAGCCGCGGUAAUAC
Molecule: ribosomal RNA, 406 nt
Filed under: uncultured bacterium
Lineage: Bacteria
Description: partial 16S ribosomal RNA
Rfam family: Bacterial small subunit ribosomal RNA
Source: RNAcentral